Molecule: long non-coding RNA, 236 nt
Filed under: Sorghum bicolor (sorghum)
Lineage: Eukaryota; Viridiplantae; Streptophyta; Magnoliopsida; Poales; Poaceae
Description: long non-coding RNA (SBIC_LNC010324)
Source: RNAcentral
CGUGCAAAACCCUUGACAAUUUUUUCUUUAUUUUCCUGAUCUUUUUGACAAUUUUGUUGAGACCAAAUAGGGCAAAGCCAAGUUUGGGUCGGGUCCAAAUGGUGUCAAGAAGCUGUUGUAGAAAUUUUAGAUUUUUCUGAUAAACGAGCGAAAAUUUAUGCAUGUUUUACAGAAGAUAUCUCAAAUUAUGUUUUUCGAAAGGCACAACCGGCGGCGGUGGCAACGGUAGUUAGGGC